Long non-coding RNA from Passer domesticus (house sparrow), 999 nucleotides. RefSeq lists it as uncharacterized. Lineage: Eukaryota; Metazoa; Chordata; Aves; Passeriformes; Passeridae. The transcript has 3 exons. The record is from RefSeq and is a predicted model, not a curated record.
UAUAUAAUAUUGGUAUAUUAUAUUUUAUAAGAGAUGUAAGGACAUUUUUUAUAAAAUAUGUAAAUGUUUAUGCCUGCAUCAUAGUUCCUAGAUAAAAUUUAUGUUAAUGCUGACAUAUGUUCUUUCCUUUUAAGAGAAAGUUGCUGUUUCUUGAAAAGACAUCAGACCAAGACAGGAGAAGCAAAAGUGCAGAAGAGAGCUUGUAUCCACCUGGUUUCUGCUCAGUUUACACUGGCUAGAAGUAAAACGAACCCUGGGUAAUAGCAGCAUUCAGGAAACAAUAUUCUACAAUGGGCUCGAGUUUUGAUAUCUAGGGCCCAGGAAAUGCAGGUGAAAUCAUGUCACUCCUCAAAAGAUGCUUUCUUGCAAGACCUGGAGUAGAAGCUAAGACAAAUAUACCUACUUGGAACCUAGGAGAAAUGUGUUGAUGACUGGAAGUAAACAUUCUAGAGAACCUGGAGCCAAUUCACUAGUGUUAGAGAAUUUUUUUAGAGAACCUUUACAGACCACAACAUCAGGGGAGAUUUUCUCUGAGGAUAAAAAAAUCCCUGACAACCUCACCUGUAGUACUCCAUGCCAUGGCACCAGGAUGGGACACUGGGAUAUUUCUGAUUUGUGGUGCAGGAAUACUGCUCUCUAAAAUGCUGAUACUGUUUCUGGUAUUCUUGAUAUAUCUUUGGAGGACACAUUUUUGGCCUAAUUAUAAUAUCUGCAAAUGUCAUAAACCAGGACUGGAAUUCUACUGAGGACAUUAACAACUUCAUGGAGGCUUGGUAGAAAGAUUUAUUCCAUUGUAUAUUUUUCUCGCCAUUAAAUUUAUCCUACUACUGUCUUUGUCUCUCCCUACCACCUUUCACAUGCAAUAUUGGAAAUAUGCCAGUUCUGUAAGGGUUUGUUUUCUUCUUCCUGACUGACACAUAUACUCAGUUUGAAGAGCAAACAGCACAAAAGGUAAUUUUGUGAUCAAUAUAAAUAAAACUGACACUUUUCUGAUGGCAA